RNAcentral lists this long non-coding RNA (378 nucleotides) under Carica papaya (papaya). Its description in RNAcentral is "long non-coding RNA (CPAP_LNC007629)". The record is from RNAcentral. Lineage: Eukaryota; Viridiplantae; Streptophyta; Magnoliopsida; Brassicales; Caricaceae.
UAUAAGGUAAAUGAUUUUAUUUAUGACAAACGAAUUUACUUAAAUUAAUAGCUUUAUUAGUUGAUUUUAUGAUUUCUACCAACAUUUAUUUUUGUGUAAGUGAGUAGCGUGACAUUCUUACUAGGCUAGAGUAGCUCACUCCUUUAUUAACUAUUUCAUAUCAAGAGGACCAAGAUACAGAACUCGAUCCACAAGAGGGUUGCGAGUAGAACGUUCAGUUUUUUUACUUUUCAUUUAUUUUUUUAAUUAUUAGUUGUUCUUUAAGAAGGGUCAUUCUCGUAGUCCUAUUGGAUAUCAUGAAUUAUUGUGUAAGGAAUAUAAACCCUAAUUUAUUAUUUUGCUUUCGCAUUCAAUUCAUAAUUUAUUUUCUUUCUAGUU